Aeromonas hydrophila subsp. hydrophila ATCC 7966 is the source of this 86-nucleotide regulatory RNA element. It matches the Rfam family "c-di-GMP-I riboswitch aptamer". From Rfam's summary of the family: GEMM was predicted in a large-scale screen for bacterial structured RNA regulatory elements. The record is from Rfam. Lineage: Bacteria; Pseudomonadati; Pseudomonadota; Gammaproteobacteria; Aeromonadales; Aeromonadaceae.
CCAGGUAAAGGGCAAACCGGUCGAGAUGCCGGGACGCAAUGCCUCCGGUCUUCAGAUCGUGCGAUCCAGAUAGCGGGGCUUCCCAG